UCCCUGGUGGCUUAGGUGGUAAAGCGUCUGCUUGCAAAGCAGGAGACCAGAGUUUGAUCCCUGGGUUGGGAA
This 72-nucleotide transfer RNA is filed under the name Capra hircus (goat). It matches the Rfam family "tRNA". Rfam says of the family: Transfer RNA (tRNA) molecules are approximately 80 nucleotides in length. Their secondary structure includes four short double-helical elements and three loops (D, anti-codon, and T loops). Lineage: Eukaryota; Metazoa; Chordata; Mammalia; Artiodactyla; Bovidae. The record is from Rfam by way of RNAcentral. RNAcentral also lists the same sequence under 1 other name.